This 329-nucleotide unclassified non-coding RNA is filed under the name soil metagenome. RNAcentral describes it as "partial contains 5.8S ribosomal RNA, internal transcribed spacer 2, and large subunit ribosomal RNA". The stretch from base 1 to 120 matches the Rfam family "5.8S ribosomal RNA", at positions 35 to 154 of the family's 154-position model. The record is from RNAcentral.
GAUGAAGAACACAGUGAAAUGCGAUAAGUAAUGUGAAUUGCAGAAUUCAGUGAAUCAUCGAAUCUUUGAACGCACAUUGCGCCCCCUGGUAUUCCGGGGGGCAUGCCUGUCCGAGCGUCAUUACAACCCUCAAGCUCAGCUUGGUGUUGGGCCCCGCCGCCCCGGCGGGCCCUAAAGUCAGUGGCGGUGCCGUCCGGCUCCGAGCGUAGUAAUUCUUCUCGCUCUGGAGGUCCGGUCGUGUGCUCGCCAGCAACCCCCAAUUUUUUUCAGGUUGACCUCGGAUCAGGUAGGGAUACCCGCUGAACUUAAGCAUAUCAAUAAGCGGAGGA